UACGAAGGGGGCUAGCGUUGUUCGGAUUUACUGGGCGUAAAGCGCAUGUAGGCGGAUAUUUAAGUCAGGGGUGAAAUCCCGGGGCUCAACCCCGUAACUGCCUCUGAUACUGGGUAUCUUGAGUCCGGAAGAGGUGAGUGGAAUUCCGAGUGUAGAGGUGAAAUUCGUAGAUAUUCGGAGGAACACCAGUGGCGAAGGCGGCUCACUGGUCCGGUACUGACGCUGAGGUGCGAAAGCGUGGGGAGCAAACAGG
RNAcentral lists this ribosomal RNA (253 nucleotides) under uncultured bacterium. RNAcentral describes it as "partial 16S ribosomal RNA". It matches the Rfam family "Bacterial small subunit ribosomal RNA", at positions 524 to 776 of the family's 1533-position model. The record is from RNAcentral.